This is a long non-coding RNA of Etheostoma spectabile (orangethroat darter), 86 nucleotides long. RefSeq lists it as uncharacterized. The record is from RefSeq and is a predicted model, not a curated record. The transcript has 3 exons. Lineage: Eukaryota; Metazoa; Chordata; Actinopteri; Perciformes; Percidae.
UUAAAAUGAAACACAGAGAGCAAAACCUCAUCUCAAGUCUCCAAAAGUCUAAACACAUGUUCUGCUUUACACACAUGAUGCAAUUC